CAUGCAGGCGGCCAAUUAAGUCAAAUGUGAAAUCCCCGAGCUUAACUUGGGAAUUGCAUUCGAUACUGGUUGGCUAGAGUAUGGGAGAGGAUGGUAGAAUUCCAGGUGUAGCGGUGAAAUGCGUAGAGAUCUGGAGGAAUACCGAUGGCGAAGGCAGCCAUCUGGCCUAAUACUGACGCUGAGGUACGAAAGCAUGGGGAGCAAACAGGAUUAGAUACCCGCGUA
Molecule: ribosomal RNA, 225 nt
Filed under: uncultured Acinetobacter sp.
Lineage: Bacteria; Pseudomonadati; Pseudomonadota; Gammaproteobacteria; Moraxellales; Moraxellaceae
Description: partial 16S ribosomal RNA
Rfam family: Bacterial small subunit ribosomal RNA
Source: RNAcentral